Molecule: ribosomal RNA, 336 nt
Filed under: Nannocoris sp. Guyana 3358
Lineage: Eukaryota; Metazoa; Arthropoda; Insecta; Hemiptera; Schizopteridae
Description: eukaryotic LSU rRNA
Rfam family: Eukaryotic large subunit ribosomal RNA
Source: RNAcentral
GGGUAAUAAAACCUAAAGGCAAAACAAAAGUAAAGAAAGCUUAGCUUUUUAAGGGAAGAUGGUUAAUUUUAGCCCGCACUCCCGGGGCGUUAAUUACUCAUUGCGAGUAAAGGCGCACCUAGAGCGUACAUGUUGGGUCCCGAAAGAUGGUGAACUAUACCUGACCAGGAUGAAGCCAGGGGAAACUCUGGUGGAGGUCCGUAGCGAUUCUGACGUGCAAAUCGAUCGUCAGAGUUAGGUAUAGGGGCGAAAGACUAAUCGAACCAUCUAGUAGCUGGUUCCCUCCGAAGUUUCCCUAGGAUAGCUGGUGCCGAUGAGAUCGAUCUCUCUGGUAAG